Molecule: ribosomal RNA, 1350 nt
Filed under: uncultured bacterium
Lineage: Bacteria
Description: partial 16S ribosomal RNA
Rfam family: Bacterial small subunit ribosomal RNA
Source: RNAcentral
GACGAACGCUGGCGGCGUGCUUAACACCUGCAAGUCGAACGAUGAAGAAAAGAAUUGAAGCUUCGGCAGAAAUUCAUUUCGGAUUAGUGGCAGACGGGUGAGUAACGCGUGAGCAACCUACCUCUUACAAAGGGAUAGCCUCGGGAAACCGGGAUUAAUACCAUAUAACAUUGCGACGAAGCAUUUCGAUGCAAUCAAAGCUACGGCGGUAAGAGAUGGGCUCGCGUCCCAUUAACCAGAUGGUGAGGUAACGGCUCACCAUAGUAACGAUGGGUAACCGGCCUGAGAGGGUGAACGGUCACACUGGAACUGAGACACGGUCCAGACUCCUACGGGAGGCAGCAGUGGGGAAUAUUGCACAAUGGAGGGAACUCUGAUGCAGCGACGCCGCGUGAGUGAUGAAGGAAUUCGUUUCGUAAAACUCUGUUCUAUGGGAAGAAAAGGACUGUACCAUAGGAGAAAGCUCCGGCUAAAUACGUGCCAGCAGCCGCGGUAAUACGUAUGGACCGAGCGUUGUCCGGAAUCAUUGGGCGUAAAGGGUACGUAGGCGGCCCAGUAAGUUAGAAGUGAAAUAAUAUAGCUCAACUAUAUAAAGCUUUUAAAACUGCUAGGCUUGAGAGAUGGAAGGGAAAGUGGAAUUCCUAGUGUAGCGGUGAAAUGCGCAGAUAUUAGGAAGAAUACCGGUGGCGAAGGCGACUUUCUGGUCAUCAUCUGACGCUGAGGUACGAAAGCGUGGGUAGCAAACAGGAUUAGAUACCCUGGUAGUCCACGCUGUAAACGAUGAGUGUUAGGUUCUUGGAAUAAUCUGGGAGCCGCAGCUAACGCAUUAAACACUCCGCCUGGGGAGUACGCACGCAAGUGUGAAACUCAAAGGAAUUGACGGGGACCCGCACAAGCAGCGGAGCAUGUGGUUUAAUUCGACGCAACGCGAAGAACCUUACCAAGUCUUGACAUAAUACGGAGGGAAUUAGAGAUAGUUUCUUAAGACUUCGGUCUACUGUAUUACAGGUGGUGCAUGGUUGUCGUCAGCUCGUGUCGUGAGAUGUUGGGUUAAGUCCCAUAACGAGCGCAACCCCUAUCGUUAGUUACCAUCAUUAAGUUGGGCACUCUAGCGAGACUGCCGGUAAUAAACCGGAGGAAGGUGGGGAUGACGUCAAAUCAUCAUGCCCCUUAUGACCUGGGCUACACACGUGCUACAAUGGUUGGUACAACGAGUCGCAAGCCGGUGACGGCAAGCUAAUCUCUUAAAGCCAAUCUCAGUUCGGAUUGUAGGCUGCAACUCGCCUACAUGAAGUCGGAAUCGCUAGUAAUCGCGGAUCAGCACGCCGCGGUGAAUACGUUCCCGGGCCU